RNAcentral lists this non-coding RNA (31 nucleotides) under Mus musculus (house mouse). The record is from RNAcentral. Lineage: Eukaryota; Metazoa; Chordata; Mammalia; Rodentia; Muridae.
UCAAGAUGAAAGACGUGCCCAGAGCCACCAG